This 1327-nucleotide ribosomal RNA is filed under the name Staphylococcus aureus. RNAcentral describes it as "bacterial SSU rRNA". It matches the Rfam family "Bacterial small subunit ribosomal RNA", at positions 79 to 1393 of the family's 1533-position model. Lineage: Bacteria; Bacillati; Bacillota; Bacilli; Caryophanales; Staphylococcaceae. The record is from RNAcentral.
GCUUCUCUGAUGUUAGCGGCGGACGGGUGAGUAACACGUGGAUAACCUACCUAUAAGACUGGGAUAACUUCGGGAAACCGGAGCUAAUACCGGAUAAUAUUUUGAACCGCAUGGUUCAAAAGUGAAAGACGGUCUUGCUGUCACUUAUAGAUGGAUCCGCGCUGCAUUAGCUAGUUGGUAAGGUAACGGCUUACCAAGGCAACGAUGCAUAGCCGACCUGAGAGGGUGAUCGGCCACACUGGAACUGAGACACGGUCCAGACUCCUACGGGAGGCAGCAGUAGGGAAUCUUCCGCAAUGGGCGAAAGCCUGACGGAGCAACGCCGCGUGAGUGAUGAAGGUCUUCGGAUCGUAAAACUCUGUUAUUAGGGAAGAACAUAUGUGUAAGUAACUGUGCACAUCUUGACGGUACCUAAUCAGAAAGCCACGGCUAACUACGUGCCAGCAGCCGCGGUAAUACGUAGGUGGCAAGCGUUAUCCGGAAUUAUUGGGCGUAAAGCGCGCGUAGGCGGUUUUUUAAGUCUGAUGUGAAAGCCCACGGCUCAACCGUGGAGGGUCAUUGGAAACUGGAAAACUUGAGUGCAGAAGAGGAAAGUGGAAUUCCAUGUGUAGCGGUGAAAUGCGCAGAGAUAUGGAGGAACACCAGUGGCGAAGGCGACUUUCUGGUCUGUAACUGACGCUGAUGUGCGAAAGCGUGGGGAUCAAACAGGAUUAGAUACCCUGGUAGUCCACGCCGUAAACGAUGAGUGCUAAGUGUUAGGGGGUUUCCGCCCCUUAGUGCUGCAGCUAACGCAUUAAGCACUCCGCCUGGGGAGUACGACCGCAAGGUUGAAACUCAAAGGAAUUGACGGGGACCCGCACAAGCGGUGGAGCAUGUGGUUUAAUUCGAAGCAACGCGAAGAACCUUACCAAAUCUUGACAUCCUUUGACAACUCUAGAGAUAGAGCCUUCCCCUUCGGGGGACAAAGUGACAGGUGGUGCAUGGUUGUCGUCAGCUCGUGUCGUGAGAUGUUGGGUUAAGUCCCGCAACGAGCGCAACCCUUAAGCUUAGUUGCCAUCAUUAAGUUGGGCACUCUAAGUUGACUGCCGGUGACAAACCGGAGGAAGGUGGGGAUGACGUCAAAUCAUCAUGCCCCUUAUGAUUUGGGCUACACACGUGCUACAAUGGACAAUACAAAGGGCAGCGAAACCGCGAGGUCAAGCAAAUCCCAUAAAGUUGUUCUCAGUUCGGAUUGUAGUCUGCAACUCGACUACAUGAAGCUGGAAUCGCUAGUAAUCGUAGAUCAGCAUGCUACGGUGAAUACGUUCCCGGGUCUUGUACACACCGC